RNAcentral lists this ribosomal RNA (326 nucleotides) under Pachypanchax omalonotus (powder-blue panchax). RNAcentral's name for it is "partial 12S ribosomal RNA". It matches the Rfam family "Bacterial small subunit ribosomal RNA", at positions 868 to 1360 of the family's 1533-position model. Lineage: Eukaryota; Metazoa; Chordata; Actinopteri; Cyprinodontiformes; Aplocheilidae. The record is from RNAcentral.
UUCGCCUGGGUACUACGAGCGUAAGCUUAAAACCCAAAGGACUUGGCGGUGCUUUAGACCCCCCUAGAGGAGCCUGUUCUAGAACCGAUAACCCCCGUUAAACCUCACCCUUUCUUGUCCAUCCCGCCUAUAUACCGCCGUCGUCAGUUUACCCUAUGAAGGUUUAAUAGUAGACAAAGCUGGUAAAGCCCAAAACGCCAGGUCGAGGUGUAGCGUAUGAAAGGGGAAGAAAUGGGCUACAUUUCCUAAACCAGGAAAUCACGAACAGUACAAUGAAACUUGUAAAUUAAGGAGGAUUUAGCAGUAAGAGGAAAUUAGAGCAUUCC